Molecule: ribosomal RNA, 492 nt
Filed under: uncultured bacterium
Lineage: Bacteria
Description: partial 16S ribosomal RNA
Rfam family: Bacterial small subunit ribosomal RNA
Source: RNAcentral
AGUGAACGCUGGCGGUAGGCCUAACACAUGCAAGUCGAACGGCAGCACAGUAAGAGCUUGCUCUUACGGGUGGCGAGUGGCGGACGGGUGAGGAAUACAUCGGAAUCUACUUUUUCGUGGGGGAUAACGUAGGGAAACUUACGCUAAUACCGCAUACGACCUACGGGUGAAAGCAGGGGAUCUUCGGACCUUGCGCGAUUGAAUGAGCCGAUGUCGGAUUAGCUAGUUGGCGGGGUAAUGGCCCACCAAGGCGACGAUCCGUAGCUGGUCUGAGAGGAUGAUCAGCCGCACUGGAACUGAGACACGGUCCAGACUCCUAAGGGAGGCAGCAGUGGGGAAUAUUGGACAAAGGGCGCAAGCCUGAUCCAGCCAUACCGCGUGGGUGAAGAAGGCCUUCGGGUUGUAAAGACCUUUUGUUGGGAAAGAAAAGCAGCAGGUUAAGACCCCGCUGUUGUGACGGUACCCAAAGAAUAAGCACCGGCUAACUUCGUG